RNAcentral lists this small RNA (121 nucleotides) under Vibrio cholerae O1 biovar El Tor str. N16961. Lineage: Bacteria; Pseudomonadati; Pseudomonadota; Gammaproteobacteria; Vibrionales; Vibrionaceae. The record is from RNAcentral.
CUCUCUUGUUGACCUUGCAGUAAACGCUCCAUGUAACGUGCCAAUACAUCCACUUCCAGAUUGACUCGGCGUCCCACUUGGAAUUCAUCGAUAGUGGUUUCUGCGCUGGUGUGGGGCACUA